CCUACGGGUGGCAGCAGUGGGGAAUAUUGGGCAAUGGGCGCAAGCCUGACCCAGCAACGCCGCGUGAGGGAAGAAGGCUUUCGGGUUGUAAACUUCUUUUCUCAGGGACGAAGCUAGUGACGGUUCCUGAGGAAUCAGCCACGUCUAACUACGUGCCAGCAGCCGCGGUAAUACGUAGGUGGCAAGCGUUAUCCGGAUUUACUGGGUGUAAAGGUCGUGUAGGCAGGACUGCAAGUCAGAUGUGAAAACCACGGGCUCAACCUGUGGACUGCAGUUGAAACUGUAGUUCUUGAGUACUGGAGAGGCAGACGGAAUUCCUAGUGUAGCGGUGAAAUGCGUAGAUAUUAGGAGGAACACCAGUGGCGAAGGCGGUCUGCUGGACAGCAACUGACGCUGAGGCGCGAAAGCGUGGGGAGCAAACAGGAUUAGAUACCCGAGUAGUC
RNAcentral lists this ribosomal RNA (443 nucleotides) under uncultured bacterium. RNAcentral's name for it is "partial 16S ribosomal RNA". It matches the Rfam family "Bacterial small subunit ribosomal RNA", at positions 338 to 795 of the family's 1533-position model. The record is from RNAcentral.